Molecule: non-coding RNA, 31 nt
Filed under: Mus musculus (house mouse)
Lineage: Eukaryota; Metazoa; Chordata; Mammalia; Rodentia; Muridae
Source: RNAcentral
UGGCAUUGACAUGUCCUUGAGAAUUUACCCU